GACGAACGCUGGCGGCGUGCUUAACACAUGCAAGUCGAGCGGAGCGGCGAACGGGUGAGUAACGCGGGAGUAACUGCCCCCCUCUCUGGGAUAACAGUUGGAAACGGCUGCUAAUACCGGAUAGUGGGGGAUGAGUCGCGUCCUAUCAGCUUGUUGGUGGGGUAGUGGCCUACCAAGGCGACGACGGGUAGCCGGCCUGAGAGGGCGACCGGCCACAUAGGGCUGGGAUAGCAGCCGAGCUGCUACGGGAGGCAGCGGUGGAGGAUAGUGCAAGAUAGGGGAAGCCCGGAAGCAGGGACGCCGCGUGCGGGAUGUCGGUCUUCGGGUUGGAAACCGCUUUCAGCGAUGACGCGGUAGUGGAAGAAGAAGCACCGGCUAACUACGUGCCAGCCGCCGCGGUAAUAC
This 405-nucleotide ribosomal RNA is filed under the name uncultured bacterium. RNAcentral describes it as "partial 16S ribosomal RNA". It matches the Rfam family "Bacterial small subunit ribosomal RNA", at positions 28 to 526 of the family's 1533-position model. The record is from RNAcentral.